CCUACGGGUGGCAGCAGUGGGGAAUAUUGCGCAAUGGGCGAAAGCCUGACGCAGCGACGCCGCGUGAGGGAUGAAGGUCUUCGGAUCGUAAACCUCUGUCAGCAGGGAAGAACGGUCACUGUGCUAAUCAGCAGUGAAUUGACGGUACCUGCAAAGGAAGCACCGGCUAACUCCGUGCCAGCAGCCGGGGUAAUACGGAGGGUGCGAGCGUUAAUCGGAAUUACUGGGCGUAAAGCGCUCGUAGGCGGUAUGUCAAGUCAAGGGUGAAAGCCCCGCGCUCAACGUGGGAACUGCCUUUGAAACUGGCGAACUGGAGUGUGAGAGAGGAUAGUGGAAUUCCAGGUGUAGGAGUGAAAUCCGUAGAUAUCUGGCGGAACAUCAGUGGCGAAGGCGACUAUCUGGCACAUAACUGACGCUGAGGAGCGAAAGCGUGGGUAGCAAACAGGAUUAGAUACCCGUGUAGUC
This 465-nucleotide ribosomal RNA is filed under the name uncultured bacterium. Its description in RNAcentral is "partial 16S ribosomal RNA". It matches the Rfam family "Bacterial small subunit ribosomal RNA", at positions 338 to 795 of the family's 1533-position model. The record is from RNAcentral.